RNAcentral lists this ribosomal RNA (397 nucleotides) under uncultured bacterium. Its description in RNAcentral is "partial 16S ribosomal RNA". It matches the Rfam family "Bacterial small subunit ribosomal RNA", at positions 523 to 918 of the family's 1533-position model. The record is from RNAcentral.
AUACGUAGGUGGCAAGCGUUGUCCGGAUUUAUUGGGCGUAAAGCGAGCGCAGGCGGUUUCUUAAGUCUGAUGUGAAAGCCCCCGGCUCAACCGGGGAGGGUCAUUGGAAACUGGGAGACUUGAGUGCAGAAGAGGAGAGUGGAAUUCCAUGUGUAGCGGUGAAAUGCGUAGAUAUAUGGAGGAACACCAGUGGCGAAGGCGACGCUCUGGUCGGUAACUGACGCUGAGGCUCGAAAGCGUGGGGAGCAAACAGGAGUAGAUGCCCUGGUAGUCCACGCCGUAAACGAUGAGUGCUAAGUGUUGGAGGGUUUCCGCCCUUCAGUGCUGCAGCUAACGCAUUAAGCACUCCGCCUGGGGAGUACGACCGCAAGGUUGAAACUCAAAGGAAUUGACGGGG